GCAGGGAAUCUUGCGCAAUGGGCGAAAGCCUGACGCAGCGACGCCGCGUGAGGGAUGAAGGCCUUCGGGUCGUAAACCUCUUUUCUCGGGGAAGAAUAAUGACGGUACCCGAGGAAUAAGUCUCGGCUAACUACGUGCCAGCAGCCGCGGUAAUACGUAGGAGGCGAACGUUAUCCGGAUUCAUUGGGCGUAAAGAGGGCGCGGGCGGCGCUCCAAGUCGGGUGUGAAAUAUCCUGACUCAAUCAGGAUGGGUCAUUCGAUACUGGAGUGCUUGAGGGCAGCAGAGGGAGAUGGAAUUCCCGGUGUAGUGGUGAUAUGCGUAGAUAUCGGGAGGAACACCAGUGGCGAAGGCGGUCUCCUGGGCUGUACCUGACGCUGAGGCCCGAAAGCGUGGGGAGCAAACCGGAUUAGAUACCCUGGUAGUCC
RNAcentral lists this ribosomal RNA (426 nucleotides) under uncultured bacterium. Its description in RNAcentral is "bacterial SSU rRNA". It matches the Rfam family "Bacterial small subunit ribosomal RNA", at positions 354 to 796 of the family's 1533-position model. The record is from RNAcentral.